Molecule: ribosomal RNA, 506 nt
Filed under: uncultured bacterium
Lineage: Bacteria
Description: partial 16S ribosomal RNA
Rfam family: Bacterial small subunit ribosomal RNA
Source: RNAcentral
AGUGAACGCUGGCGGCAGGCCUAACACAUGCAAGUCGAACGGCAGCACAGGAGAGCUUGCUCUCUGGGUGGCGAGUGGCGGACGGGUGAGGAAUACAUCGGAAUCUACCUUUUCGUGGGGGAUAACGUAGGGAAACUUACGCUAAUACCGCAUACGACCUUAGGGUGAAAGCGGAGGACCUUCGGGCUUCGCGCGGAUAGAUGAGCCGAUGUCGGAUUAGCUAGUUGGCGGGGUAAAGGCCCACCAAGGCGACGAUCCGUAGCUGGUCUGAGAGGAUGAUCAGCCACACUGGAACUGAGACACGGACCGGACUCCUACGGGAGGCAGCAGUGGGGAAUAUUGGACAAUGGGCGCAAGCCUGAUCCAGCCAUGCCGCGUGGGUGAAGAAGGCCUUCGGGUUGUAAAGCCCUUUUGUUGGGAAAGAAAAGCAGCCGGUUAAUACCCGGUUGUUCUGACGGUACCCGAAGAAUAAGCACCGGCUAACUUCGUGCCAGCCGCCGCAGUAA